GACGAACGCUGGCGGCGUGCUUAACACAUGCAAGUCGAACGAAGAGCGAUGGAAGCUUGCUUCUAUCAAUCUUAGUGGCGAACGGGUGAGUAACGCGUAAUCAACCUGCCCUUCAGAGGGGGACAACAGUUGGAAACGACUGCUAAUACCGCAUACGAUCUGACCUCGGCAUCGAGGAUAGAUGAAAGGUGGCCUCUACAUGUAAGCUAUCACUGAAGGAGGGGAUUGCGUCUGAUUAGCUAGUUGGAGGGGUAACGGCCCACCAAGGCGAUGAUCAGUAGACGGUCUGAGAGGAUGAACGGCCACAUUGGGACUGAGACACGGCCCAGACUCCUACGGGAGGCAGCAGUGGGGAAUCUUCCGCAAUGGACGAAAGUCUGACGGAGCAACGCCGCGUGAGUGAUGACGGCCUUCGGGUUGUAAAGCUCUGUUAAUCGGGACGAAAGGCCUUUUUGCGAAUAGUGAGAAGGAUUGACGGUACCGGAAUAGAAAGCCACGGCUAACUACGUG
Molecule: ribosomal RNA, 510 nt
Filed under: uncultured bacterium
Lineage: Bacteria
Description: partial 16S ribosomal RNA
Rfam family: Bacterial small subunit ribosomal RNA
Source: RNAcentral